Long non-coding RNA from Ostrea edulis (European flat oyster), 7166 nucleotides. RefSeq lists it as uncharacterized. The transcript has 4 exons. Lineage: Eukaryota; Metazoa; Mollusca; Bivalvia; Ostreida; Ostreidae. The record is from RefSeq and is a predicted model, not a curated record.
GUUUUUUUUAGGGGUGGUAGGGGCACUCAAUAGGUCAAAUAUUUAUAAAUAAACUGUUUUUCUAUACUGUUGACAUUAAAAAUUUGUCAUUUUAACACAUUCUUCUCAUGUUUUAUUACUCUGCUUUACGAAAAUGUGUGGUUUUUUGAUGUUGACCUAUACUUCUGUUCUUAUAUGUUUGACAUCUUAAAAAAGGUGGCAACACAUACAUUUGCUUUGGUUAUUAAUAAAAUCAAACUAUACCGAGUGGAAAUUAAUACAGUGUUUCCACUUUCAACCAUUAAUAUUGAUAAGUCGCAUAAGGGUAGAGCUACCUUGAAUCUGCAUAAAUGGUAUUAAACAUGCAGUAUGCAGGUAUACAUUCCACUGAUUUCUUGUUCCGUGUUCAGGUUGUGAUUGCUGACUUUAUGUUUUCCUAGUGUGUGUUUUACAUAAAAUCUUGUCUAAAGUAUGCAUGUACUUGCAGAAAAAUUAAUUUAAAAAAAACCCCGUUUUAUAAUAGUUAACAAACACACACAUGUACAUAGCUGGGCCUCCAAAAAUGGAAAAUACAGAUGCUUGGAUAUAUUUUGGUAGAUGAUUGAAAUGGAAUUCACAAAUAAAAUGUUGAUAAAUUAAAAAAAAAUUAUUGGCUAAGAAAAAGUGACAAUGUUGAAAGUACUAAGGGCACAAACAGCAUCUGUGUACAUGUGUGUGUACAAAUGUAUAUUGUCCUCCUAAGAGGGGUAACAUAUAUACAUGUAGAAUAAAAUGGAGAAUAUGACAUGGAGACAAAGACAAAAAGGACUUUAAAUCGUGUGUGUUUUUGGGGAUUGUAGCCAAAACUCUUGCAUAUCAUUGCAACAUUACUGUGUUAAAACCUGUAGUAUGCAUUAUGUACAAGUAUGUGUUUGAUUUGUAAAAUUUUGUCUCUAGGAGGAACAAUCCUGCACAUCAUUUGUGGAAACGGAAGAGUUAGAGGCAGAACAGGAGGAACAAUCAUGAACAUCAUUAGUUGAAAUGGAAGAGUUAGAGGCAGAACAGUCAUUUCACCCAAGGAGGCAUGCAUAUGGAUUUAGGCUGUGAAAAAGAACCCCAAACAAAAUGGCGGCUGGUGAAUUAGAUAAAGUUUCUGAGUGUAGGAUCUGAACGGAGAAUAGGAAUACUGCAUCCCAUCUGACCCUGCAGGAAGAAAGACCUCUGGCAAAGACAAGAACAAAGGAGGGAGAACAUUUCUGGAAAUUUAUGAAAUCUUCAGUGUGUUUGGACACAGGAGCUAUGAUAUCCAUCCAUUCUGGUUGCCUCAGGAUCGAUUCUUGUGAAUAUAGAAAAUUGGAAAUUCAAAUGUUGGUUAUUUUACACUUUAAAAGUGCUUACUGCUUAGUCCAAUAUGUUGAUAAAUCUAGUCUUUUGUGAUUUUUCAGGCAAAUUAAAUCUCCAACACAUGUAUACAUUUUUGAUAAAUUACCCCAAGGACCCUAUAUUUUUUCAAAAGCAAUAUAUAUCUGAAGUAAAUAAAACCAUUUUUGUUGGGUCACACAAUGAAUAGAAAUGACAGAUGUAGUGCUUAUAUCAUGGAAUUUCUGUAAACAGAUGAUAUUUUUUACAAAGGUUUUAGCUCACCUGAGCCAAAAGCUCAAGUAAGCUUUUCUGAUCAAAAUUUGUCCGUUGUCUGUCGUCGUCGUAAACUUUUCACGUUUUCGACUUCUUCUCAAGAACCGCUGGCCAAUUUCAACCAAAUUUGUCACAAAGCAUCCUUGGGUGAAGGACUUUCAAGUUUGUUCAAAUUAAGGGCCAUGUCCCGUUCAAAGGGAAGAUAAUCACAAAAAUGCAAAAAUAGGGUGGGGUCAUUUAAAAAUCUUCUUGUCAAGAACCACUGGACCAGAAAAGCUGAAAUUUACAUGAAAUCUUCCUGAUAUAGUGCAGAUUCAAGUUUGUUCAAAUCAUGGCCCCCGGGGAUUGGAUGGGGCCACAAUAGGGGAUUAAAGUUUUACAUACUGAUAUAUAGGAUAAAUCUUUAAAAUUCUUCUUCUCAAGAACUACUGAGCCAGAAAAGCUGAGAUUUACAUGAAAGCUAUCUGACAUCAGUGCUUGAGCUGGGCUUCGCCAUUUUCGUCAAUGGCGAAUUUUUUUCAAAAAUGGCGAAAAAAAAUUGAAAGUGGCGAAAAUCCCUUUUUGCAAUAAAUUGUAUUUUUAACCCUUUGUCAGUGACACAUUAUCGCCUGUUUGUUUAUGCAGUCAAAAUCUGUUUAUUCAGUCAACGCGUGCGACCGGAAAUCUCGCGUCGCUCCAGUGCACACAGAGCUGGUCACAGCCUCAGGUAAUUUAUGGCUGCAAAAAAGUCGGUGAUUAUGUAAUAAAGUACAUCGGACAGCUGUUUAACCUGCUGUGGUCAAUUGUUUAACAUUUAAAGUCUUAUUCAUUAUCGUGUUAUCAUCUCCACAUUAAUGUCAAUUCUUAACCAGAGAACCGACCGGUAAUUAAAUUGGCCGUAUUAUUGUGUAUAAUGUAUAUCUGAAUACAUCAAUUGUUUGUUUUUGCGGCCAAACUCGUUGAUUACAAGAUUUUGAUUUUGAUGUGUUUGAUUUUAGUUCGAAUAUUUCAUAAACAAUGCGGUCGGUCACCAUUGAUAUGGACAUGGCAAUUUUAAUAAAUAAUGUUCUUUGAAGUUCGGUGCGCAACAGUAUAAAAAUGCUAAUCUCAUAAGACUAUGCACUCCAUUCUAUUUUGACACUAAACUUGUAGCUUCUGACCCUAGUCAGUCUAAAAUUAAAAAAAUAUCUUUGUUUGGCUUUACAGUCAACCCCACCUCCUCAAACAUCUGAUUCUGUCCAAAUUGCAAAAUCUUCCAUACAAAAACGGAAAUUUAAUAGGGAAUGGUUGAGAUACGACUCUAAAUUGGGCUUGACGUUUUGUGACAUCUGCAUUUCGGCCAAUGUACACAAUGUUUUCACUGAGGGGUGUAGCAUCAUGAAGUUUAUAUUUAUAUGAUUUAUUAUCUGAAUUUUGAUUUUCAUAAUAGAAUUUAUCAAACAAAUCAACUUCUUAUUAUUUCAGAAAGAAAUGUUUAGGUACGGUAGCUGGAUAUGAUUAAGUAAUGUAACUGAUUCAAAAUGCUAAAAUAAGUGUAAUGAAUAAAAUAAUAUAUAAUAUGAUGGAAAUAAUUGUAAAGCAUGUGAUUAUUUGUGCCGCGCCACUCCCCAAAAAAGUGGCGAAAGGGAAUUCUGGUCUAGUGGGAGCACUGUCUGACAUAAUGCAAAUUCAAGAUUGUUCAAAUCAUGGCCCCUGGGGUAUGAUGAGGUCGCAAUUGGGGAUCAAAGUUUUACAUGCAAAUAUAUAGGAAAAAUGUUUAAAAUUGUUCUUCUCAAGAACCACUGGACCAGAAAAGCUUAGAUUUACAUGAAAGCUUCCUGACAUAAUGCAGAUUCAAGUUUGUUCAAAUCAUGGCCCCUGGGGGUAUGAUGGGGCCACAUUAGGGGAUCAAAGUUUUAUAUACGAAUAUAUAAGGAAAAUCUUCUUCUCAAGAACCACUGAGCCAGAAAAGCUGAUAUUUACAUGAAAGCUCUCUGACAUAUAUUUCAGAUUUCAGUUUGUUAAAAUCAUGGCCCUCAGGGUAGGAUGGGGUCACAAGGGGGAUCAAAGUUUUACUUACAAAUAUAUAGGGAAAAUCUUUAAAUAUGAGCUAAGGUGACUCAGGUGAGUGAUGUGGCCCUUGGGCCUCUUGUUUAAAGCCUUUCAUAAUUACCAAAUUUAAAAAUUGGUCUGAAACUGGAAGGUACAAACGAAUCCAUUAUCAUUUUGAAUAUUCAUAACCUAGUAUGUUCUGUUGACAUGUUUUGUUUAGAAUUUUGUUCAGAGAAAUGUAGUUCAAAUGAUCACAAAAUAUACACUGUCAUUGGUUUUGGUAUACAUAUAAAAGGUAAAUCCUGGUUUACCAUGUUCAUAAUAUAUGCCAUGCAAUAGAACUAAGUGCUCUGUUGUUUAAACUGUGUAUUGUUAUAGGAUUUUCGUUUAGUGUUUAUGACUAUCUCAUGUGAGCAUUACUGCCUAUGAUAUUUUCUCUUUAAAUAUAAUUGUUUUGAAAAUAUGUUGAUAAAUGACCACUACAGUUUGAUUCAUAUGUAUAUUAUCUGAGUUCAGAAUGUUCUCUUGUGUUUUGUCUUAUUGAGAUGAUAUAUUGUGCUCUUUGACUUAAUGAUGCUGCUUGAAGGCAUAAUUGUUGGACCUAUAGUGUAUUCAUUUUCAAAUGUAUUGAAAUAUAAUUUUUGAUAAUAAUGAGGCAAUGCUAUACUUGUUAGGGUAGUAAAAUGCACCGGUAAUUCAAAUGUACAUUGAGGUCUUACCCGAAUGUUUUUAUUUGGUUACAAUUUUGGUUUUUGAUAAGAAUUUUAGGUCAUAUAGGUAAUCUCUGGUGACCUGUCUUCUGAGUAAAUUCAGGUAACAAUUGAACAUUUUGUAAGAAAAACGUAUGCAUAGUCAGGUAGAGGAGGAAGGCCUUUACUAAAAAUAUAGAUGUCGUAAUCCAUGGGGUAGGGUUUCUGACUCUGGGGUAAGACCAAACUUGGUAUACAUAGUGCAUAUGUGUUAAAGGCAUAGGAUCUAUCUUUUAUCUCAAAAAUGACAUCACAAUAUUUUGCAAGAAGAACUCCAAAAAACAAAUUUGUAGUAUUAAUUAUGAGUUAUCUAUAGCUGCAGCACUUUGAAAUUUAAGUCAUUUUGACGUUUUAGCCCUAUUUAAAAUUUUUGUCAGGAGGACAAUAUAUUAAACUGGUACCCCGCUGAAUGUUGGCUACACACAAACAUAAGAGAUGCGAAAUCAACAGGGUACCAAUUUAGGCAAAUGAGAACAGGGAAUUAUUUUGUAAUUACUAUCGUUAUCCAAUGUGUUUGUAAACAUUCUGAAGAACUUUGUGUGAUUUUCUAGUUAAUAUGAUCAUAAAUUUCGCCACCUUUUUGGAACAUGCAACAUUUCACCAAUAUCUUAGACCCUAUGCCUUUAAGGUAAUUCCACCCCUGUAGAAUUAUAGGUUCAAUCUUAUAUUUGAUUAAUGAUUAUCUUAGUAACAAAUAAAAAUGAUAAGAUAAGUAUGUUGCAGCAUUGAUAAAAAGAUUUAUCAAUUAGCACGCAUAUACCUGUUAUUGAUGUCAGAAAAUUACAAUUGUCAUUAAAUACAUUUCAUUAUCACAAAAACUUGUUAAAACGAUAUAAUGGUAUUCAUAACAAUUUCAUGAAACUGUUUCUUAAAAAAAAUAUACAAUAUGUUUGUGAAAAGUAAAAGAUAUCUAUGCAUAAAAAAUUGAUAAAUAAUUUAAAGAAAACGGAGUUAUUACCCUUGGAUUCGGUAUUUCGAAACUCAUACGUGACUUUUGAAAUAUCUUGUGGUUAACAAGAUAUUUUACAAUAACUAUUGAAAAAGACUUCAACAAAAUUUAUGUUCCGAUCAUGCAUAAAUCUUAUCAAAUCAUUGACUUUGCGAAAUCUUAUGACAUCACAGGAGAGUGGAACUACGUUACACAAUUAUAAAAUAUCUUUUUAGCUCAGCUGAGCUGAAAGAUCAAGUGAGCUUUUCUGAUCGCUUUUUGUCCUUCGUCUGUCUGUCUGUCUGUUAAACAUUUACAUUUUCAACUUCUUCUCCAAAACCACUGGGCCAAUUUUAACCAAUGUUGGCACAAAUCAUCCUUGGGUGAAGGGGAAUCAAAAUUGUUCAAAUGAGGGCCAACCCCCUUAUCCAAGGGGAGAUAAGAGCAAAUCAGUAAAAACACACUGAAAAUUUUUAAAAAUCUUCUUCUCCAGAACCAGUAAGCCAAUUUCAUUCAAACUUAAUGCAAAUCAUCCUUAGUUGAAGGGAAUUCAAAAUUGUUCAAAUUAAGGGCCAGGUUUUCUUCAAAGGGGAGAUAAUCACAAAAGUGUAAAAAUAGGGUGGGGUCAUUUAAAAAUCUUCUUCUCAUGAACCACUGUGCCAGUAUAGUUCAAAUUUACAUGGAAGCUUCCUGACAUAAUGCAGAUUCAAGUUGUUCAUAUCAUGGCCCCCAGGGGUCAGGUGGGGCCACAAUAGGGGAACCAUAUUUUAUAUGUGUUUAUAUAGGAAAAAUCUUCUAAAAUCUUCUUCUCAAGAACCAUUGAGCCAGAAGAGUUCAACUUUACAUGGAAGCUUCCUGACAUAAUGCAGAUUCAAAUUUGUUCAUAUCAUGGCUGCUGGGGGUCGGGUGGGGCCACACUAGGGGAAACCACAUUUUAUAUGUAUUUAUAUAGGAAAAAUCUUCUUCUCAAGAACCAUUGAUCCAGAAGAGUUCAAAUUUAUAUCGAAGUUUCCUGACAUAGUUCAGAUUUAAGUUUGAAGCUUUAUGGCAUAGUUCAAAUUAAAGUUGGUUGAAAUCAUGCCCCCCGGGCUUUCAGGUUUUGCCACAUUAAGGGAAACCGUAUUUCCUAUGUGUAAAUAUAUGAUAACUCAGGUGAGCGAUGUGGCCCAUGGGCCUCUUGUUUAAAGGUUGAUAUUAACAUGAAACUAAAUUAAUAUGUGGUAGUCCUUAAUAAAAAUUGUAAAAUAUAUGAUUUCCUGGACAAGGGUUUAGUUUCCAGGAUAAGGCCAAGAUUAUAGUAGCAACUAUUGUCUUUAUUGUGAUAUGGUAAAUAACUAAAUCCAUGCUUAUUAGAAGCAGAACAGGAUAUACCAAAGUGGUGAUUUACACAACCCCAAGGUUUUGACUGUACACAGGUCCAAAGUAGUCAUAUUAUUUAAUGUUGUAUAUAUAAUGUCUCCUUAUUGGUGAAAUAUUCUCGAAAGGGACAUUAAACAAUACACAAUCAAUCAUCUGGACUGUAUAGGCACUUUCGGGGCAUUUAAGUUUUAUGAACACAUCUUGUUUUAUUCUGUUUUGUAUGUUAGGAUUUAAUUUAGGUAUGCAGAACAGGAAUUUUUCUCAAGAUUUCAUAAUCCUUGGGGCUAGUGAUACUUUUAAUUAAUUCUCAUGUACCCAAUAAGGCCUGUGGGCCUUUUAUUUCAUGAAAUGCAUUAAAUUCUGAUUGAUAUGUCUUUUGUAAUUUUUCAUGAAAUGGAUGAAAAUCCUGUAUGUUUUAUUAAUAUUUGACCAGCAACCAUACUUGAAAAUAAUUUGUAUGACAUGCCAGUUUUUGUUACAAAGUAACAAUUAUAUAAUGAAUAAAUUUCAUGUUGAAGUUAACUUUU